Molecule: long non-coding RNA, 451 nt
Filed under: Callithrix jacchus (white-tufted-ear marmoset)
Lineage: Eukaryota; Metazoa; Chordata; Mammalia; Primates; Cebidae
Description: lncRNA (ENSCJAG00000076291.1)
Source: RNAcentral
GUGAGAUGCUUCAGCUAUGUCACUGGCCCGGAUGAGUGAGGCGAUGCAAGCCGGAAGCGUAAUUUCACUGAGCACAACGUGAUAUGAACAUGUGACUGAGUUCUCGCCAAGUCUGGCUUUGAAAAAUGUCUCCCAGCAUUGCGUAUACCCUUUCUGCUCGAUAUUGGGCUGGCGUUGAAAACCUUAUCUCUGAAUGAUUGCUGUGACACAGAGGUCUCCCCUUCCCCUAAGGAUCAUCCUGCCCCUCCCACCAAAGGCAUUUGCUUGGGACUCUUAAGCAGGCUUUUGUAAGUCACCCCUCUGCUUCAUGAAGAACACACUGGGGUGGGAUAUCACACUGUGAAAAAUACAUAACUGGAAUUUGAAUAGUAAACCAGCAGAUCGGGAGCAACAUCUGGAGGGCCCAUAUAUGCCUGGGGAGAGAAGGAGAGGUGCUGGCACGCCCACAGGG